AUCAAUUAAGUUGAGUAAAUUAGUUGGAGAAAACUGCACAAAGGUUCGUUGGCAGUGUACUAGAAUUAAGCGCAAGUGUUAUAAUUGCGCAUAUACCGUUGAAAAUACUUACGAACAACGUUUCGGGAAGCCUAGAACAUCAAUAGGCUUCCAAGCAGCCAGGACGGAACAAUUGGAUUGCUACAGUGGAAAAUCUCAAAAAUCUAUAAGAGUCAUGAUCUUGCUGCUGUUGUCGUCGCCGUCGCCGUCGUCGCCGUCGUCGUCGUCGUUCGUCUAUGUUAACGCGGUUGAAUCCGAUGUUGUGUUGGAUGUAAUAUGCAUUUUCUAAUCUACUUAAAGCCGCACGUCGAGAAAACAGCGCUUGUAAUCGCCAUCCAGAAACCGUAACUCCAAGGCCCUCGUCUACAUGCUUAUUACGCACGCGGUUCAGAUAACAGUGGAUUAAAAUAAUUAAAAACUAUCCAUGAUGUGAACAUUUUGCAGACAUAAUCUGGCCAUGAUAGGACUAGUUGCAAAAACCGGGCGGACGAAUGGUAAACGCUAACGAAGAAACAGUGGUCAGAUCAGAACGAAGACCCUAUGCACAGAUUGGCUGUAGUCAAAGUAAAAUGCAGAAUAGUAAGUUAGAAUGAUUGUAUCGGGUUAUAUGGAUUAGAUGAGCUAUAUGGCAUCACAGGUUUAUCUUUGGCCAUAGAGAAUUUCUAAAUAGUGAUCGGUAGCAGUCCGAAUCGAAAGGACGAUCUUGCAGUUGAAAACACUUUCUAGUAAUGGUUACGAUGAAAGAUUCUAGGAUACCGUAUGAUGUACACUAGUGUGAAAAUCUAACAAAUAUAGCAGUGGAUCCUCCAA
Molecule: long non-coding RNA, 849 nt
Filed under: Varroa destructor (honeybee mite)
Lineage: Eukaryota; Metazoa; Arthropoda; Arachnida; Mesostigmata; Varroidae
Description: uncharacterized LOC111249461, transcript variant X2
Source: RNAcentral